CCUUUAUAUUAGCUGUCAGUAUUCUUACACAUGCGAAUAUCCGUAAUCCGGUGAGUCAUGCCCAAAAUUUCCAUGUUCAAAGAAAUGAAGGAGCAGGGAUCAAGUACACUAUUCUAUUAGUAGCUAAAGACACCACGCCUAACCACACCCCCACGGGAUACAGCAGUGAUAAAAAUUAAGCAAUGAACGAAAGUUUGACUAAGUAAUACUGAACAAGGGUUGGUAAAUUUCGUGCCAGCCACCGCGGUCAUACGAUUAACCCUAGUUAAUAUACUACGGCGUAAAGAGUGCUAAAAUAUAUACCUAAAUAAGACUCAAGCCUAAUUUAGCUGUAAAAAGCAUCAAUUAAAGCGAAAAUCAAUAACGAAAGUAGUCUUAUUAAAUUGCAGCACUAAAGCUAUAGAACAAACUGGGAUUAGAUACCCCACUAUGUAUAGCCAUAAACAUAAAUAAGUUUAUAACAAAUUUAUUCGCCUGAGGACUACAAGCAACUGCUAGAAACUCAAAGGACUUGGCGGUGCUUUAUAUCCACCUAGAGGAGCCUGUUCCGUAAUCGAUAAACCCCGAUCCACCUUACCACUUCUUGCUAAUUCAGCCUAUAUACCGCCAUCCUCAGCUAACCCUGAAAAGGAAAGAUAGUAAGCACAAUCAUUAUAAAUUAAUAAAAAAGUUAGGUCAAGGUGUAGCCAAUGGAGUGGAGAGUAAUGGGCUACAUUUUCUGUAGACAGAAUAUUAACGAAGUUCCCUCUGAAACACAGGGAAUGAAGGAGGAUUUAGUAGUAAAUUGAAAAUAGAGUGUUCAAUUGAAUAGAGCAAUGAAGCACGUACACAUCGCCCGUCGCUCUU
The sequence is a non-coding RNA, 846 nucleotides long. It matches the Rfam family "Bacterial small subunit ribosomal RNA".